This is a long non-coding RNA of Rhinolophus ferrumequinum (greater horseshoe bat), 642 nucleotides long. RefSeq lists it as uncharacterized. The transcript has 2 exons. Lineage: Eukaryota; Metazoa; Chordata; Mammalia; Chiroptera; Rhinolophidae. The record is from RefSeq and is a predicted model, not a curated record.
CCUAGGCACACAGCCUCCAAGCAUCUGGCGUCCCCCGCCCCCAAGGGCAGCAGCCGGAGUAUCGCCCCCUGGUGUUGGCCUUACCACCUGGAGUUUCCUCGACGGCUUAUAGCCCACCUGCUCUCCCCUCUCGCCCUAACACUCCUCCGAGUUUCCUACUGCUAGGGACGUGCAAACCUGUCCUUUGGAGGCUUAAAACUCUCCGAGGGCCCGAGGGGCUGUCCUUCUGCUCUCUGCCUAGGGAGCAGAGGAACACAUCAGGUGAAGACCAACCAAGCUUUGGAGCAGCUCUGAACACAGAACAGGGUCUUGAUUCUCAGCUCAAAGGCCUGGUCCUUCAGUCUGAGGAAUGGGUGGGUGAAGACGGUCAGGCCCAGAGGGAUGAAGUAACAGCUUGACCAGAAGUGCAUAGAAAAUGCUGUUUUUUCUGGAUGAAUAACCCACAACCUGUCCACUCAAAGAAAAUCUUAGAUGUACCCGAGGCUCAGUCAUCUGACGCAUCAGCAAUAGGAAGCCCCCUCAGAAUCAACUCCCCGACUAGGACGGUCCUCCCACGCGUCUUCAGCCCUGCAGUUUCCCCUCAACUCGUGCCAUGCCUCCUUCCCACUGCCUAUAAAAGAUCCUGUUAUGGUUUGACUCAAA